GGCCGGUUACCUCAGUCGGUUAGAGCACGGUGCUGAUAACACCAAGGUCGCGGGUUCGAUCCCUGCUCAGUCCC
This is a transfer RNA of Apaloderma vittatum (bar-tailed trogon), 74 nucleotides long. It matches the Rfam family "tRNA". Rfam says of the family: Transfer RNA (tRNA) molecules are approximately 80 nucleotides in length. Their secondary structure includes four short double-helical elements and three loops (D, anti-codon, and T loops). NCBI's taxonomy places the organism in Eukaryota, Metazoa, Chordata, Aves, Trogoniformes, Trogonidae. The record is from Rfam.